This 497-nucleotide ribosomal RNA is filed under the name uncultured bacterium. Its description in RNAcentral is "partial 16S ribosomal RNA". It matches the Rfam family "Bacterial small subunit ribosomal RNA", at positions 28 to 507 of the family's 1533-position model. The record is from RNAcentral.
GAUGAACGCUGGCGGCGUGCCUAAUACAUGCAAGUCGUGCGAACAGACGAGGAGCUUGCUCCUCUGACGUUAGCGGCGGACGGGUGAGUAACACGUGGAUAACCUACCUAUAAGACUGGGAUAACUUCGGGAAACCGGAGCUAAUACCGGAUAAUAUAUUGAACCGCAUGGUUCAAUAGUGAAAGACGGUUUUGCUGCCACUUAUAGAUGGAUCCGCGCCGCAUUAGCUAGUUGGUAAGGUAACGGCUUACCAAGGCAACGAUGCGUAGCCGACCUGAGAGGGUGAUCGGCCACACUGGAACUGAGACACGGUCCAGACUCCUACGGGAGGCAGCAGUAGGGAAUCUUCCGCAAUGGGCGAAAGCCUGACGGAGCAACGCCGCGUGAGUGAUGAAGGUCUUCGGAUCGUAAAACUCUGUUAUUAGGGAAGAACAAAUGUGUAAGUAACUAUGCACGUCUUGACGGUACCUAAUCAGAAAGCCACGGCUAACUACGUG